This 329-nucleotide ribosomal RNA is filed under the name uncultured Neocallimastigales. RNAcentral describes it as "partial large subunit ribosomal RNA". Lineage: Eukaryota; Fungi; Neocallimastigomycota; Neocallimastigomycetes; Neocallimastigales. The record is from RNAcentral.
GUUGUUUUCUCGAAAAUCAAUUAAAAAUGGCUUGAUUUUGUGUUGUAUUGACCUUAAAAGCUUUCUUCACUUUUUUCAUGUCUUUUUUAAUGCACUUUUCGUUUAACAAGUCAACAUCAGUUUCUUUUGUUGUAAAAAGGUCAUUGGAAGGUGGCUUUCUUUUCGGAGAAAGUGUUUAUAGCCUUUGACUUCUGCAAUCGGAGAGACUGAGGUCUGCAGCGUAGAUCCUUCUUGGAUUAGAUUCAUUUGUGCUAAGUUACAACCGUUUAUAGACAACUUGUUGACUAUAUUCGAUCCUGUAGCUUACUCGCUUAUGUAAUUUUACCUAC